Molecule: long non-coding RNA, 221 nt
Filed under: Phoenix dactylifera (date palm)
Lineage: Eukaryota; Viridiplantae; Streptophyta; Magnoliopsida; Arecales; Arecaceae
Description: long non-coding RNA (PDAC_LNC007641)
Source: RNAcentral
AACAUCCUUUUUCAAAUUUCUAAAUUUUUCUUAAACUAUUUUAUUUUUAAACAUAUUUAAACUUCAAAAUGAAUAUAUUUAAGAUAAAUUGGUUCUAUAUAGUAUGCUAAGUCUAAGGUGAGAAGCUAUGUAAAAGAAAAUAUAAUUAUUUCAAUAUUUUCGAUUAAUAUUUCAUUAUUGAUCAAAUAAUUCUAGCUAAUAUUAUUGUGCCACGAUAGAUA